AGCAGCCGCGGUAAUUCCAGCUCCAAUAGCGUAUAUUAAAGUUGUUGCAGUUAAAAAGCUCGUAGUUGAAUUUCGGGGUUAGUAGGUUGGUCAUGCCUCUGGUAUGUACUGGUCUCACUGAUUCCUCCUUCCUGAUGAACCUUAAUGCCAUUAAUUUGGUGUUUUGGGGAAUUUGGACUGUUACUUUGAGAAAAUUAGAGUGUUUAAAGCAAGCUAACGCUUGAAUACAUUAGCAUGGAAUAAUGAAAUAGGACGUUCGAUCCUAUUUUGUUGGUUUCUAGGAUUGACGUAAUGAUUAAUAGGGAUAGUUGGGGGCAUUAGUAUUCAAUUGUCAGAGGUGAAAUUCUUGGAUUUAUUGAAGACUAACUACUGCGAAAGCAUUUGCCAAGGAUGUUUUCAUUAAUCAAGAACGAAAGUUAGGGGAUCGAAGACGAUCAGAUACCGUCGUAGUCUUAACCAUAAACUAUGCCGACUAG
This 476-nucleotide unclassified non-coding RNA is filed under the name uncultured Glomus. RNAcentral describes it as "SSU rRNA". It matches the Rfam family "Eukaryotic small subunit ribosomal RNA", at positions 569 to 1049 of the family's 1831-position model. Lineage: Eukaryota; Fungi; Glomeromycota; Glomeromycetes; Glomerales; Glomeraceae. The record is from RNAcentral.